Molecule: ribosomal RNA, 371 nt
Filed under: uncultured bacterium
Lineage: Bacteria
Description: bacterial SSU rRNA
Rfam family: Bacterial small subunit ribosomal RNA
Source: RNAcentral
GUAGGGGGCAAGCGUUGUCCGGAAUUACUGGGCGUAAAGCGCGUGUAGGCGGUCGGGCAAGUCAGAUGUGAAAGCCUUCCGCUUAACGGAAGAAGUGCAUUUGAAACUACCCGGCUGGAGUACGGGAGAGGAGAGUGGAAUUCCCGGUGUAGAGGUGAAAUUCGUAGAUAUCGGGAGGAACACCAGUGGCGAAGGCGGCUCUCUGGCGCUGAACUGACGCUGAGGCGCGAAAGCGUGGGGAGCAAACAGGAUUAGAUACCCUGGUAGUCCUAGCCGUAAACGAUGGGCACUAGGUGUUGGAGGUAUCGACCCCUCCAGUGCCGCAGCUAACGCAUUAAGUGCCCCGCCUGGGGAGUACGGCCGCAAGACUA